This 2504-nucleotide long non-coding RNA is filed under the name Sus scrofa (pig). Its description in RNAcentral is "lncRNA (ENSSSCG00000055951.1)". The record is from RNAcentral. Lineage: Eukaryota; Metazoa; Chordata; Mammalia; Artiodactyla; Suidae.
AUUUCAGGUGUACAGCUUCAGAUUCUUUACCAUUGUUAAGUUGAUACAAGAUUUUGAAUAUAGCUAAAUUUGCUAUACAGUAAAUCCUUAUUUAUCUUUCUAUGUAAUGGUGUAUAUGUAUUAAUCUCAUACUCUUAAUUUAUCCCCUUGAUAACUAUAAGUUUGUUUUCUAUCUGAGUCUAUUUCUAUUUUUUAAAUAAGUUGAUUUAUGUUAUUUUUUAAUAUUCCACAUAUGUCUUAUUUUUGUCUUUUUCUGCCCUUUUUUACUUCCCUUAGUAUGGUAAACUCUAGGGCCAUCCGUGUUCUGCAGAUGGCAAUAUUUCAUUCUUUUCAUGGUUGCAUAAUAUUCCAUUGUGUAUAUAUGGAAUAUAUAUAUUUAUUUAUUUAUUCCAUUGACAUCUUCUGUUCAAUGGACUUCAGACAUAAGGAAAAUCUGGGGCAAUAAAUGAAUGUUGCUUAAGCCAUUAAGCUUGCCUUGAUUUGUUAGGAAACAAUAGAAAACCGACACAAUUAAUACAAAGAAAUACAGAGGUUGAACUGAUUUGAGAAGAGAGUCAAUUUUCAUACAACAAAAGUUAACUGUACUCCUUGGUUUGGCAAAUGUGUUCACAGCUGAUGAAAAGGUUUAGUGUAAUGUGCUGUAGAUGUCUAAUCAGAGAGAAAUGGAAAUCACCAUUCUAUUGAAAGGAUUUUUCGCAGACUCAAGAAUGAUUCACCACCUGAAAAGAUCUUGACCUUUUGACUAUGAGCUGCUGAACCAUUUUCCAUAAGACUUAUUCCAUCAUUGAACAAUAAAGAUGCACAGUGGGAUUUAAAAAAAAAUUAGCCAGAAAUAACUAUGUAAAGUGGGUUUUGUUUGUGUUCUCAAUUGACGUCUGUGGUAAAUGUGAUAAAUAAAAAUAUUGAUUGGGUAUUAUUGUCAAAAUUACAUACUUUUUAAUAUACUUAUAAAUCUUAUAAAUGAACGUUACAAAUUAAAAUUUAGUUGGCAAUGCUGGUGUAUAGGCUGUGUUUAAAUUCAUUUGGCUUGUUUUAAAAUAGAGACUGUGCAGGUAAAAUACGGUUGCCUCAUCCUGGAAAAACCAGUUUCCUUUGCCCCCUUAAAAUCUAACUGCAUGAAUGCCUAAUUUGACAGAUAGGAAUGUAACACAGUUAUGAAUGGAUUUUUCAGAAGUUACUCCAAGGCAGAUUUAAAUUUAGAAUUUUAAUUUCCUUUGACUUUAGUGUUCCUUUUAUUAUAUAGCAUUUUGUGUCUUUUUGAUCCAGCUGUUCUGGUGACACUAUUUAGUUAAAAAUACUUUCUCUUCUCAUUCAGUAACAACAAUUUGCCUGGUUUAUAUAUAAAGUCAUUUGGCACCAUGUAGAUUGAGGCUCUCACAGAAGUCCUUUAUGUGCUAUUAGCCAGUUAUUUGGGAUAAAUUUAUAGCAUUUGACUUACCUUUUCAGAAUUCCAACAUUUUGUUUAAGGCUUUUGAUUGAAGAAUGCCUAACUUGUCUUUCAGCAAGAUUAUAUUAAUUUACAACUUAUAAUUAUCCCAGACACUUAAAAUUUAGCCUGGUAACUAUGUGUUCUUCCUGUUUUUCCUGUGUCAGUAAAAAAAAUCCUGCUGCCUAUUAUCUUGCUUAGUCUUAUUCCCUCCUGUAUAUGUAGUGCUUGACAACUGAAGGGUCCUUAGUAGUAUUUGCAGAAUGGUAGUAAUCAUAAUAAAUGAAUGUAUUAUUGUAAGUAUAAGGAAAAAAUCUGGAAGAAUAUGGGCUGAGCCACUGAUGAUGAUUAACUUGGGUGUGAAAUGUCAUUGUAAGUAGUGGCAUUAGGGACGUGAAAGUAAGUGUUGAUAUUUUAAAUUUCUUCUUAAAGCAUUUCUGUAUUAGUUCCUCUUUUUUUUUUUUUUUUUUCUAUGAGCUCGUUUUGAAAGUUAUCCUUAGGGAAAUAAUGUGGCAAUGGAACAGAAGGGAGAAAACUUCCACAUACUUUAUUCAAGACUUAUUAACAUGCAUAAUCUUAUUAUAAUUUCUACUAACCUUUUGAAAUAGAUAAUAUUCAUCUCCAUCUUGAAGAUGAAAAAGCAGCAGCAGCAGCUUAGCCAGGUUAAAUGACUUGUUCCAAGCCAAAUAGCUAUGCAGGAAGAAAACUAAGUGAACUCAAGUUUGCCAGAUCUAGACUAAUUUGCCAUGGGUCUGGGAGUUUAAUACAGAAACCUAUGUUCUUUCCCCUGUGCUAAGCUGUCUAUCAGGAGGGCGGUGAGCUGACUUCUAAGAUCAAGAUGUCUGUGUACAGAAAAGGGAACUGUUGGCUCCUUUGCAGAAUCCCAGUUCUGAAGUUAAUGAGUUGGAGUGUCUGGGAGAACGGGCUUCCCACAAGGUCACACAACAGGAGUCAGUGAUUUCUGACUCUCUGCAUAUCUAGCACACUUCCUUGCCAGUUCUCUUGGAAGCAGUCUUGUGGUUUCAUUUUAUACUGACAAGGACAAAUUCCAGAAUCUGAUUUCAAGUGAACGAAUGAG